UCCCAGGUAGCUUAAUGGCAAAGCACCCAACCGGCAAUUGGGAGAUCUGGGUUCAAGUCCCGGUCCGGGCU
This is a non-coding RNA of Strigamia maritima, 71 nucleotides long. NCBI's taxonomy places the organism in Eukaryota, Metazoa, Arthropoda, Chilopoda, Geophilomorpha, Linotaeniidae. The record is from Rfam.